UACGAAGGAUGCAAGCGUUAUCCGGAUUUAUUGGGCUUAAAGGGUGCGUAGGCGGACUUAUAAGUCAGUGGUGAAAUCUCGUUGCUUAACAACGAACGUGCCAUUGAUACUGUAGGUCUUGAGUACAGAUGCCGUUGGCGGAAUGUGUCAUGUAGCGGUGAAAUGCAUAGAUAUGACACAGAACACCGAUUGCGAAGGCAGCUGACGAAGCUGUAACCGACGCUGAGGCACGAAAGCGUGGGGAUCAAACAGG
This 253-nucleotide ribosomal RNA is filed under the name uncultured bacterium. RNAcentral's name for it is "partial 16S ribosomal RNA". It matches the Rfam family "Bacterial small subunit ribosomal RNA", at positions 524 to 776 of the family's 1533-position model. The record is from RNAcentral.